RNAcentral lists this transfer RNA (23 nucleotides) under Phrynocephalus axillaris (toad-headed agama). RNAcentral's name for it is "partial tRNA-Leu". The record is from RNAcentral. Lineage: Eukaryota; Metazoa; Chordata; Lepidosauria; Squamata; Agamidae.
AACUUUUAAAGGAUAGUAGUAAU